UCCCAUCGCAGUGAGCACAACCCGAACUAUUCUUUCGCGUUUUAAUAAAGAAUACCGUGUGUUUGCCGCAAAUAGUGGCAUACGCCUAUUUUUGAAGGGGUUCUCUUUUUGAGUUCU
Molecule: small nuclear RNA, 117 nt
Organism: Lycium barbarum (goji berry)
Lineage: Eukaryota; Viridiplantae; Streptophyta; Magnoliopsida; Solanales; Solanaceae
Product: U5 spliceosomal RNA
Exons: 1
Source: RefSeq, a predicted model, not a curated record